Molecule: ribosomal RNA, 466 nt
Filed under: uncultured bacterium
Lineage: Bacteria
Description: bacterial SSU rRNA
Rfam family: Bacterial small subunit ribosomal RNA
Source: RNAcentral
CGUGCCUAACACAUGCAAGUGAACGGAAGCCAGAGAUUUACGGUUUCUGCUUUAGUGGCGAACGGGUGAGUAACGCGUGAGAAACCUGCCUUUCAUGGGGGACAACAGUUGGAAACGACUGCUAAUACCGCAUAACGUAUCGAGAGGGCAUCCUUUGAACCAAAGCUUUAUGUGCUGAAAGAUGGUCUCGCGUCUGAUUAGCUAGUUGGUGAGGUAACGGCUCACCAAGGCGACGAUCAGUAGCCGGUCUGAGAGGAUGAACGGCCACAUUGGGACUGAGAUACGGCCCAGACUCCUACGGGAGGCAGCAGUAGGGAAUUUUCGGCAAUGGGGGAAACCCUGACCGAGCAACGCCGCGUGAGUGAAGACGGCCUUCGGGUUGUAAAGCUCUGUUGUAAAGGAAGAAUGGCAUGGAUAGAAUCCAUGAGUGACGGUACUUUACCAGAAAGCCACGGCUAACUACGUG